Molecule: long non-coding RNA, 2612 nt
Organism: Onychomys torridus (southern grasshopper mouse)
Lineage: Eukaryota; Metazoa; Chordata; Mammalia; Rodentia; Cricetidae
Exons: 3
Source: RefSeq, a predicted model, not a curated record
GCCAAAGCAGCUGACGGAUACGUGAAGCCGCAGAUCAAGCAAGUGGUCCCUGAGUUUGCUAAUGCAUCCACAGAUGCAGGGAGUGGCGCCACCUACAUGGACCAGGCUCCCUCCCCAGUAGUGUGCCCCCAGGCUCACUACAACAUUUACUCACAGAACGCCGACUCUGUCCUUGACACCGAUGGGGACUUUGAUCUAGAAGACACGAUGGAUGUGGCGCGGCGCGUGGAGGAACUCUUAGGCCGGCCCAUGGACAGUCAGUGGAUCCCUCACGCCCAGUCAUGACCAGACCUCGCCACCCGCAGCUUCAUCAUCCUCACGGAGGAUCUUCUUGUGGAUGUUUUAAUUCCAUGAAUCGCUUCUCUUUGGAAACAAUACUCAUAAUGUGAAGUGUUAAUACUAGUUGUGACUUUAGUGUUUCUGUGCAUAGUGGCACCAGUGAAGGGAGUGUGUGUCAGUGUGAAUGUGUGAGUUUGCACGUUGUGUUUUUCCCCCACCCCUUGCUGUCCAGUCUAAGCUGCAGUGCCAGGGCGGGGGCCGGGCUUGUUUUCACCUCGUGCAAAAAGGCGGUCGGUCCCCUGAACCCUGGAACCUGGCCAUGUGUCUUAAGGGUGGCUGAACUUUGACACACGACUGUUCAAGUAAGAAAAGGACAAAGAGAGGAAAAAGCACCUCCUCUCUGGGGAGCCUUCCUCCCUCGGCCAGGCAGUCCAUAGUCCAGGCAAGCUAUCAUUGUCUCUGCCUGUCUUCUGUUGAUGGAGACUGUUGUUGAUGGAGAAAGCCAGUGCUUCACAAGUCCCCUGUCCCCUUUGUACAUACCGAUGGAAAGGGACGCUGGAUAAAGAGUGUUGGGGCAAAGGUGGUCGCAGGUUUUUGGAUGGGUGGUGGCUGUUUCCACCAGGUAACCCAUCUCAACGUUGGCUCCUUGUCCUCUGCUUCUUCAGUCUCUCUGUUUCUAGAAUUGCCACUCAGCUUAUGUGUGUGUACUCGUGUGGGUAUGUUUAACAAAAUAAUGGAAAGGAAGGAGGGCCACCAAGCUCAGGGCUUAUAGGUGAUGCCCUGUGCUCUGCCAGCGUGGUGUGCAGUACCCAGGCCUGGCUCCAGACACCGGGCGUGGCCCAUCUCUGCUACCCUCUCCCACUCUGUGCUGUGACGAGCCUGUGCCUACAUUAUCCAAGGCUUUUCUAGAAGCUUGUGGAUAGUGGCUUCCUGCAAAUGUCCAGUGGUGGUUUUGUUUCUAAAUCAGGUCUCUUUAUGUUUUUCCCGUUUGCACCCUAAUUUGACAUCAGAGUUCUCUCUUCCUGUAUCAAGUCCUGGGUCCUCUAUCCCCAGGUCACCCCUUUCCCCUCCAGUGUCACAGAGUGUCCUGAGGAAUAGGUGGUAGGGAUUGUGACCUGUACCUGGGGCCAGCUUGCCACACAGGCAGUCACCACUAUGGGGUGCUGGGUGCUGUUGGGAGUUAGGGAAAUGCAGUCAGCAGGUUUGCUGGGAAGUUUAGUAAGCUUUAGAAAGGAGACUUUCUUCCACGGUCUCCUGGAGUGUCACCAGAAGGAAGGAAGGAGCUGCAGAGGGCAGGCAGGGAGAGGGGCAGGCAGAGAGCGGUUCCCACUCAGGCCUGCAAAGCCCUCCUUGGCCUCCUCUCCAAACAUGGGCAGAGCCACACCCACAGGAGAGGAGGACCCCAAAACCUUAUUUUUAUACAUGCAAGUAAAUAAACCUAUUUUUUUUACAAAAAUAGUAACUUCUGAAUUUUAUCAGUGUUUUACUGUUAAAGGAAAAUACUCCUGUGUCGUAAAUUAUUUAUUGGAAGAUGACUUUUUAAAAGCUGCUGCUUGCCUUGGCUUGGUUUUGUACACUGAUUUUUCUAUGCCUGGCGGUAGCCUCUCUGCCUCAGGUGCUCGCUGGAUGGAGGAAGCAUGAGGCCCCUCCUGCCCACUCAGGAGAAGGCUGGAGCUGCUUGAGGAAUCCAUACUUAGAGGACUCUUCCCCACCUGUCAUGUGGCCUAUUUGUUCCGGUAAACCUCCCAAGGGUGUGGACCUGACACACUUCUAGAUUUAUCGUGGACACGGCCCCAGAGCAUGGGGAUAGCAGAGCAGCCUGCCACCCCUAGAAGGUUCCUAGCUUAUUCUCUAGUUGGGUUGGAGAAGAAGGUACCCAAGUAAGGCUUCCACACGGUCGCUUCGCUCCCCUGGGUUUCACUGAGGCUGUUCCUGGAGAUGGGAGAGGUUUUGAACUGGAAGCUGUGUUCCCUGUCUGCAUGCCGCUCUCUCUCUCUCUCUCUCUCUGCCGACUCCUGCACACAAAGACAGGCCAGGGCAGGUCUCCACCUGCCUCUUGCCUGCUCACAGACCCACAUGUGAGUCCUGAAAGGUCUCAGCUUUGGGGUGUGGCGUGUGUGGGGCUUUGUAGGGGGGGGAAGAAGAUUCAAAGUGGUUAUCUCCGACAAUGAAAAUAUUCUUUUGUAAUUCUUCUUCUUAACAUUUUAUUUCAGAUGCAUAUUUUAGUGUCAAGGCAGAUUAGUAUAUUGCCACCAAAAAAGUAUUGUGUAUAAAUUGGGGCAGCCACAAAAUUGUGUAUUUUAUGUUACAAUAAAGGAGUCUCUGAAGGACAA